RNAcentral lists this small nuclear RNA (107 nucleotides) under Dasypus novemcinctus (nine-banded armadillo). The record is from RNAcentral. Lineage: Eukaryota; Metazoa; Chordata; Mammalia; Cingulata; Dasypodidae.
GUGCUUGCUUCGGCAGCACAUAUACUAAAAUUGGAAUGAUACAGAGAAGGUUAGCAUGGCCCCUGAGCAAAGAUGAUAUACAAAUUCAGGAACUGUUCCAUAUUUAU